This 495-nucleotide ribosomal RNA is filed under the name uncultured bacterium. RNAcentral's name for it is "bacterial SSU rRNA". It matches the Rfam family "Bacterial small subunit ribosomal RNA", at positions 28 to 524 of the family's 1533-position model. The record is from RNAcentral.
GAUGAACGCUAGCGGCAGGCCUAACACAUGCAAGUCGAGGGGUAGAACACUUCGGUGUUUGAGACCGGCGCACGGGUGCGUAACGCGUAUGCAAUCUACCUUGUACAGGGGAAUAGCCCAGAGAAAUUUGGAUUAAUGCCCCAUAGUAUAUAACCUUCGCAUGUUGGUUAUAUUAAAGUUCCAACGGUACAAGAUGAGCAUGCGUCCCAUUAGUUAGUUGGUAAGGUAACGGCUUACCAAGACGAUGAUGGGUAGGGGUCCUGAGAGGGAGAUCCCCCACACUGGUACUGAGACACGGACCAGACUCCUACGGGAGGCAGCAGUGAGGAAUAUUGGUCAAUGGUCGCAAGACUGAACCAGCCAUGCCGCGUGCAGGAAGACGGUCCUAUGGAUUGUAAACUGCUUUUAUACAGGAAGAAACCCUCCCACGUGUGGGAGCUUGACGGUACUGUAGGAAUAAGGAUCGGCUAACUCCGUGCCAGCAGCCGCGGUAAU